Molecule: ribosomal RNA, 499 nt
Filed under: uncultured bacterium
Lineage: Bacteria
Description: partial 16S ribosomal RNA
Rfam family: Bacterial small subunit ribosomal RNA
Source: RNAcentral
AUUGAACGCUGGCGGCAUGCCUUACACAUGCAAGUCGAACGGCAGCACGGGAGCAAUCCUGGUGGCGAGUGGCGAACGGGUGAGUAAAGUAUCGGAACGUGCCCAGUCGUGGGGGAUAACGUAGCGAAAGUUACGCUAAUACCGCAUACGAUCUAUGGAUGAAAGCGGGGGAUCGCAAGACCUCGCGCGAUUGGAGCGGCCGAUAUCAGAUUAGGUAGUUGGUGGGGUAAAGGCUCACCAAGCCAACGAUCUGUAGCUGGUCUGAGAGGACGACCAGCCACACUGGAACUGAGACACGGUCCAGGCUCCUACGGGAGGCAGCAGUGGGGAAUUUUGGACAAUGGACGCAAGUCUGAUCCAGCCAUUCCGCGUGCAGGAUGAAGGCCCUCGGGUUGUAAACUGCUUUUGUACGGAACGAAAAGGUCUCUCUUAAUACGGGGGACUCAUGACGGUACCGUAAGAAUAGCACCGGCUAACUACGUGCCAGCCGCCGCAGUAA